GACGAACGCUGGCGGCGUGCUUAACACAUGCAAGUCGAGCGGUAAGGCCCUUUCGGGGUACACGAGCGGCGAACGGGUGAGUAACACGUGGGUGACCUGCCCUCAGCUCUGGGAGUAAAGCCCGGGAAACUGGGUCUAAUACUGGAUAUGACUCCACGGUGCAUGCCGUGGGGUGGAAAGCCUUGUGCGGCUGAGGAUGGGCCCGCGGCCUAUCAGCUUGGUUGGUGGGGUGANGGCCUACCAAGGCGACGACGGGUAGCCGGCCUGAGAGGGCGACCGGCCACACUGGGACUGAGACACGGCCCAGACUCCUACGGGAGGCAGCAGUGGGGAAUCUUGCGCAAUGGGCGAAAGCCUGACGCAGCGACGCCGCGUGAGGGAUGACGG
This 387-nucleotide ribosomal RNA is filed under the name uncultured bacterium. Its description in RNAcentral is "bacterial SSU rRNA". It matches the Rfam family "Bacterial small subunit ribosomal RNA", at positions 28 to 414 of the family's 1533-position model. The record is from RNAcentral.